RNAcentral lists this ribosomal RNA (450 nucleotides) under uncultured bacterium. RNAcentral describes it as "partial 16S ribosomal RNA". It matches the Rfam family "Bacterial small subunit ribosomal RNA", at positions 354 to 796 of the family's 1533-position model. The record is from RNAcentral.
GUGGGGAAUCUUCCGCAAUGGACGAAAGUCUGACGGAGCAACGCCGCGUGAGUGAAGAAGGUUUUCGGAUCGUAAAGCUCUUUCGUUAGGGACGAACGUGCUCUUUGUGAAUAAUGAGGAGUAAUGACGGUACCUAAAUAAGAAGCCACGGCUAACUACGUGCCAGCAGCCGCGGUAAUACGUAGGUGGCAAGCGUUGUCCGGAAUUAUUGGGCGUAAAGCGCGCGCAGGCGGGAUAUCAAGUCUGUCUUAAAAGUGCGAGGCUCAACCUCGUGAGGGGACAGAAACUGGUAUUCUUGAGUGUCGGAGAGGAAAGUGGAAUUCCAAGUGUAGCGGUGAAAUGCGUAGAGAUUUGGAAGAACACCAGUGGCGAGGGCGACUUUCUGGACGAUGUCUGACGCUGAGGCGCGAAAGCUAGGGGAGCGAACGGGAUUAGAAACCCUGGUAGUCC